AUGGCCCCCUACGGGACCGGGACCGGCCCCACCGGGACCUGGGGCACCGGGACCGGGGGUACCGGGGGUGUGGGCAUCGGGCAUCGCCCCCUACGGGACCGGGAGCACCGGGACUGGGAUCUGCCCCACCGGGACCGGGGGCACCGGGAGCACCGGGCAUGGCCCCCUAUGGGACCGGGACUGGCCCCACCGGGACCAGGACCUGCCCCACCGGGACCUGGGGCACCGGGACCAGGAACACCGGGACCGGGGGCACUGGGGGUGUGGGCAUCAGGCAUGGCCCCCACUGGGACCGGGGGCACCGGGAGCACCGGGCAUGGCCCCCUACAGGACCGGGACCGGCCCCACCGGGACCGGGACCGACCCCACAGGGAGUGGGGGCACCGGGCACGGCCCCCACCGGGAGCCGGGGGCACUGGGAAAAGGGGCACCGGGACUGGGACCUGCCUCAACAGGAGCGGGGCACCGGGAGCAGGACCUGCCCCACCGGGAGCAGGAAUGCCGGGGGCAGCCCCCAGGUUACCGGUGGCACCGGGUACAGCCCCCUACAGACCCGGGACGUGCCCCAUGGGGUACCGGGGACACCAGGGACAGCCCACGGGGGACCAAGGGGACCAACCACACCCCCCCCCCCAAGGAGUGGGGCCACCGGGCACGGCCCCCUGCAGGACCAGGCCCUGUCCCAAGGGGAACCGGGGACACCGGGCCCUGCCAUGCACGGUACCGGGGGCACCAGCAGGGCCCACACCGGCCUCGGUGCUCCAGGCCCUGCCCCGCAGCAGCCUGGGGACACCGGGGCCGGCCCCACACAGGACUGGGAACACGGGGCCUGUGCCCCCCAGCCCCUGCCCUGCCGCACACGGCCCCCACAGCCCCCGGUGUCCCACGGCUGAGCACCGGGGCGCUGAGCACCGGGGCCGGGCCGUCCCGCAGCCCCGCGGGCCUUAUACGGGCACGGCCGGGCCGGCGGCUGCGCAUUCCCGGGGGCUGAGCUCACCCCGCGGCCCCCCUCCCCGCCACGCUGCCGGUCACCGGCUUCCCGUCCUCGGUCCUCGGGGUCGCCCCGGGUGCCUGGCUCCGAACCCCCAACCGCUGCCAACGGGGCCGAGCGUCACCCCAAAAACGGGCCAAAAAAAAAACUUGUCCUGCUCCCUUCCGUGCCUUCUGUGCUGCUGCCUCGCUCCUGCCCCGCUGUGCGCCAAAAUCCGGCGUUGCGACGGCGUCAGCCCAGGCUAA
This 1236-nucleotide long non-coding RNA is filed under the name Anser cygnoides (Swan goose). Its description in RNAcentral is "lncRNA (ENSACDG00005006373.1)". The record is from RNAcentral. Lineage: Eukaryota; Metazoa; Chordata; Aves; Anseriformes; Anatidae.